GUAGGUGAACCUGCGGAAGGAUCAUUAGUAAAAUCUCAUAAAUGGGAUUUGACAUCCGCCACCCAGUGGAGGGUCGAAAAUAUCCAUUAACCACUUUAUGUGCACCGCAGAAUAUUACCUUGGCAGGUUUUUUAUAAGGAGGGGAGAGAUCACCUUUUUAUGAAAGCUGUGGCCUGCCAAUGGCUAUUAUAAAAUCUCAACGCUUUUAAAUUUAAUGUCUGAAAUUUUCAAUAGAAAAACAAAAAUAAAA
RNAcentral lists this unclassified non-coding RNA (250 nucleotides) under plant metagenome. Its description in RNAcentral is "partial contains small subunit ribosomal RNA, internal transcribed spacer 1, and 5.8S ribosomal RNA". The record is from RNAcentral.